This 492-nucleotide ribosomal RNA is filed under the name uncultured bacterium. RNAcentral's name for it is "partial 16S ribosomal RNA". It matches the Rfam family "Bacterial small subunit ribosomal RNA", at positions 29 to 507 of the family's 1533-position model. The record is from RNAcentral.
AGUGAACGCUGGCGGUAGGCCUAACACAUGCAAGUCGAACGGCAGCACAGUAAGAGCUUGCUCUUACGGGUGGCGAGUGGCGGACGGGUGAGGAAUACAUCGGACUCUACUUUUUCGUGGGGGAUAACGUAGGGAAACUUACGCUAAUACCGCAUACGACCUACGGGUGAAAGCAGGGGAUCUUCGGACCUUGCGCGAUUGAAUGAGCCGAUGUCGGAUUAGCUAGUUGGCGGGGUAAAGGCCCACCAAGGCGACGAUCCGUAGCUGGUCUGAGAGGAUGAUCAGCCACACUGGAACUGAGACACGGUCCAGACUCCUACGGGAGGCAGCAGUGGGGAAUAUUGGACAAUGGGCGCAAGCCUGAUCCAGCCAUACCGCGUGGGUGAAGAAGGCCUUCGGGUUGUAAAGCCCUUUUGUUGGGAAAGAAAAGCAGCAGGUUAAUACCCCGAUGUUCUGACGGUACCCAAAGAAUAAGCACCGGCUAACUUCGUG